AAAAACACAACAAAGAAAACUAAAUAAUCCCAACGAGUGUUUGUGUAUGGGUGUAUGCGUGUGCAAUGAGAGUAUGUGUGUGUGUGUGUGUGUGUGGUGGCUGUGGGAAGUCCGUGUAGCGGCCGCUAAUCCCGGGCCGGGGACAGAGUACGUGAGGUUAACAAAUGAUGGACAACAUCACUAGUACCUGAGGCAGGCGAACGAACCAGUCUGGAUUGUGUAUCCCCAGGCAGGCGACCGAACCAUGUAGUAGAGCUCAAUUUCUCCGACACUUCGGCGAUCGCACCCAGUCAGCGCAUGCAGAGAUUCCAGCACAAAACAGCAACAACCUUCAGGUAGCGUGCGUCCCAUUCCAAUACAACCUACACGUGUGUUUUGUUUUUACUUCCCUCUCUUUCACUUCCGUUUCUAAACUCGCUUUUAUAUUAAAUUUCCUUCAUUGAUUUCCGCCCAUUAGAAAAAGUGAAAAGCUGGCAUGGAUUUCUUCCAAAUCGCCACACUCUCCCUCCCUGGAGAAAACAACCUAUGGUUGUUGAAAUAUUAAUCAUAUUUAAAAUCCAAUGAAUUCCUCAUCAUCAGACGAUUCAUUGAAUAUUUGGCAGAGUCUUUUCUUCUCCUGGCUUUCCAGCUCUUCAGCCGUGGGAAAGCAUGGUUUCAGGUUGCACACAUGCACUAUGCGAACAUCUUCGCCAGUGGACUCUAGCGCUACUCGAUAAUUCAAUGGACCCAUCUGCUUUAUGACACGCAUUCCAUGGCCUUGGUCUGAAGCUCAGUUAGAUGGUGGACUGUAUCGUAAGAUAGACAAUCUGGAGUUAUAUUCUUGCCAUGUAACAACUUGUCCAUGGGACUUUGCAGUUUCCUUCCCAAAUGAAGCUCUGCAGGGGUCAUCCCAAUCGUUUCCUGGACAGCUGAAUUAAUAGCGAAACGGAGUUCAGAAUGAAGUCCGGUACCCCCCAACGGGUUAGAAUUUCCUUCCGAAGAAGUAAUGCAACAGUCUGAG
This is a long non-coding RNA of Carassius gibelio (silver crucian carp), 1000 nucleotides long. RefSeq lists it as uncharacterized. The record is from RefSeq and is a predicted model, not a curated record. Lineage: Eukaryota; Metazoa; Chordata; Actinopteri; Cypriniformes; Cyprinidae. The transcript has 3 exons.